This 494-nucleotide ribosomal RNA is filed under the name uncultured bacterium. Its description in RNAcentral is "bacterial SSU rRNA". It matches the Rfam family "Bacterial small subunit ribosomal RNA", at positions 28 to 507 of the family's 1533-position model. The record is from RNAcentral.
GAUGAACGCUAGCUACAGGCUUAACACAUGCAAGUCGAGGGGAAACGACAUCGAAAGCUUGCUUUUGAUGGGCGUCGACCGGCGCACGGGUGAGUAACGCGUAUCCAACCUGCCCACCACUUGGGGAUAACCUUGCGAAAGUAAGACUAAUACCCAAUGAUAUCCCACGAAGGCAUCGGAAUGGGAUUAAAGAUUUAUCGGUGAUGGAUGGGGAUGCGUCUGAUUAGCUUGUUGGCGGGGUAACGGCCCACCAAGGCGACGAUCAGUAGGGGUUCUGAGAGGAAGGUCCCCCACAUUGGAACUGAGACACGGUCCAAACUCCUAUGGGAGGCAGCAGUGAGGAAUAUUGGUCAAUGGGCGCAGGCCUGAACCGGCCAAGUCGCGUGAGGGAGGACGGUCCUACGGGAUUGGUAAAACCUCUUUUGUCGGGGAGUAACGUGCGGGACGGGUCCCGUAUUGAGAGUACCCGAGAAAAAGCAUCGGCUAACUCCGUG